RNAcentral lists this long non-coding RNA (436 nucleotides) under Malus domestica (apple). RNAcentral describes it as "long non-coding RNA (MDOM_LNC005674)". The record is from RNAcentral. Lineage: Eukaryota; Viridiplantae; Streptophyta; Magnoliopsida; Rosales; Rosaceae.
AGUUCUGAGAUGUGGUUUGAUAACUGUUUUAGGCACCGAGCGUUCGGGACGCCUUGGUUCUGAUGUUAGGGAGUCGUAGUGCGGACCCCAGGUGAGUGGGCGGUUAUUUUCUGUAUAUACCUAUAUACUACCGAUUUUUCCCAGAAAUUGAAUUUAAAUAAAAGUAUGUUUUAAAAUGCCAUGAAUGCAUAAUAUAUGAAAUAUAUGAAUUAGUAUUUGAUGCAUAUAUUUGAAAUGGUGAUGUGGACGCACAUGUGAGUAUUAGGUGAGUUUUAUGUUGUUCAUGUGAUUUAUUGAUGAUGUAAAUUGUGUUGAGAUCUCAUAACCUGCACCCCUGUGUUAGUGCUUAUAUUAUUCACCCCGCACCAUACGCUCACCUUGGAUCCAAGUAGGUGCAUGUCGUACAGACCAUUAGAGGUGGUUCCGACAUGUUGUA